AUGAGAUGAGAUCUACACUAAGAUGAUUUACACCCACUGAAAUGAAACUCUCAAACAUCCAGCUAUGAAAGACCAUGUAAAAAAAAACCUGGUAUUGUUUAUUUAAAAAAAAAAAGUUAAACAUAUUCCCCACACACAGGCUUCCGGCAGACGAAAAAGACACUAUCGUACUCGUAUUUGAGCAUGGAGCGGACGUUUUGAGAGUAGGUGGUUUUCACCCCAGUUCGCUCUUUCUGUCGAAUCAAAAUGAAAAGAUUAAUUAAGA
Molecule: long non-coding RNA, 265 nt
Organism: Daphnia pulex (common water flea)
Lineage: Eukaryota; Metazoa; Arthropoda; Branchiopoda; Diplostraca; Daphniidae
Exons: 2
Source: RefSeq, a predicted model, not a curated record